Molecule: non-coding RNA, 281 nt
Organism: Theobroma cacao (cacao)
Lineage: Eukaryota; Viridiplantae; Streptophyta; Magnoliopsida; Malvales; Malvaceae
Source: RefSeq, a predicted model, not a curated record
AAGAAAAAGUGUGGGAUUUCAAAGGAUUAAGCUAAUAAAGGUGGUGAGUCAUCCGACAAAGGUAAGAAAAUUGUACCCGAUGAUCGAUAAUCGAAGUACUUUAGAAAUUCGACUUCCGAAAUAGCUCAGAAUAGUCUGUAGAUAGCUCAUUUCAUCGAGGAUUACAAUUGGACAAGCAUCCUCAAAAUAUGUAGGUUUAUCUCUCUAGAUACUUUUGGUCAUUCGUGGGCCCACAUGUCACUACAAAAUUUAAUUUUGUACUUUGAUUAUCUGUAUUACAA